Molecule: small nuclear RNA, 103 nt
Organism: Macaca fascicularis (crab-eating macaque)
Lineage: Eukaryota; Metazoa; Chordata; Mammalia; Primates; Cercopithecidae
Source: Ensembl
UUGCUUCAGCAGCACACAUACUAAAAUUGGAACAAUACAGAGGAGAUUAGCAUGGCCCUUGCGCAAGGAUGACACGCAAAUUCGUGAAGGAUUCCAUAUUUUC